Molecule: ribosomal RNA, 495 nt
Filed under: uncultured bacterium
Lineage: Bacteria
Description: partial 16S ribosomal RNA
Rfam family: Bacterial small subunit ribosomal RNA
Source: RNAcentral
GACGAACGCUGGCGGCGUGCCUAAUACAUGCAAGUAGAACGCUGAAGGAGGAGCUUGCUUCUCUGGAUGAGUUGCGAACGGGUGAGUAACGCGUAGGUAACCUGCCUGGUAGCGGGGGAUAACUAUUGGAAACGAUAGCUAAUACCGCAUAAGAGUAGAUGUUGCAUGACAUUUGCUUAAAAGGUGCAAUUGCAUCACUACCAGAUGGACCUGCGUUGUAUUAGCUAGUUGGUGAGGUAACGGCUCACCAAGGCAACGAUACAUAGCCGACCUGGGAGGGUGAUCGGCCACACUGGGAAUGAGACACGGCCCAGACUCCUACGGGAGGCAGCAGUAGGGAAUCUUCGGCAAUGGACGGAAGUCUGACCGAGCAACGCCGCGUGAGUGAAGAAGGUUUUCGGAUCGUAAAGCUCUGUUGUAAGAGAAGAACGAGUGUGAGAGUGGAAAGUUCACACUGUGACGGUAUCUUACCAGAAAGGGACGGCUAACUACGUG